RNAcentral lists this ribosomal RNA (220 nucleotides) under uncultured Actinotalea sp. RNAcentral describes it as "partial 16S ribosomal RNA". It matches the Rfam family "Bacterial small subunit ribosomal RNA", at positions 335 to 556 of the family's 1533-position model. The record is from RNAcentral. Lineage: Bacteria; Bacillati; Actinomycetota; Actinomycetes; Micrococcales; Cellulomonadaceae.
ACUCCUACGGGAGGCAGCAGUGAGGAAUAUUGGGCAAUGGGCGGAAGCCUGACCCAGCCAUGCCGCGUGCAGGAAGACGGUCCUAUGGAUUGUAAACUGCUUUAUACGGGAAGAAACACCCCCUCGUGAGGGACUGACGUACCGUAAGAAUAAGGAUCGGCUAACUCCGUGCCAGCAGCCGCGGUAAUACGGAGGAUCCAAGCGUUAUCCGGAAUCAUUG